AAUGAACGCUGGCGGCGCGCCUAAUACAUGCAAGUCGAGCGAGAAGACGUAGCAAUACGUUUGUAAAGCGGCGAACGGGUGAGGAAUACAUGGGUAACCUACCCUCGAGUGGGGAAUAACUAGCCGAAAGGUUAGCUAAUACCGCGUACGCUCCUUGGACUUCGGUUCAGAGAGGAAAGCGAUACCGUGGGUAUCGCGCUCUUGGUUGGGCUCAUGUCCUAUCAGCUUGUUGGUGAGGUAACGGCUCACCAAGGCUUCGACGGGUAGCUGGUCUGAGAGGACGAUCAGCCACACUGGCACUGCGACACGGGCCAGACUCCUACGGGAGGCAGCAGUAAGGAAUAUUGCGCAAUGGGCGAAAGCCUGACGCAGCGACGCCGCGUGGGGGAUGAAGGUCUUCGGAUUGUAAACCCCUUUCGGGAGGGAAGAGUGGAACGAGCAAUCGUUCGGACGGUACCUCCAGAAGCAGCCACGGCUAAC
RNAcentral lists this ribosomal RNA (480 nucleotides) under uncultured bacterium. Its description in RNAcentral is "bacterial SSU rRNA". It matches the Rfam family "Bacterial small subunit ribosomal RNA", at positions 29 to 501 of the family's 1533-position model. The record is from RNAcentral.